GACGAACGCUGGCGGCGUGCUUAACACAUGCGAGUCGAACGGAAAGGCCCUGCUUUUGUGGGGUGCUCGAGUGGCGAACGGGUGAGUAACACGUGAGUAACCUGCCCUUGACUUUGGGAUAACUUCAGGAAACUGGGGCUAAUACCGGAUAGGAGCUCCUGCUGCCUGGUGGGGGUUGGAAAGUUUCGGCGGUUGGAGAUGGACUCGCGGCUUAUCAGCUUGUUGGUGGGGUAGUGGCUUACCAAGGCUUUGACGGGUAGCCGGCCUGAGAGGGUGACCGGCCACAUUGGGACUGAGAUACGGCCCAGACUCCUACGGGAGGCAGCAGUGGGGAAGAUUGCACGAUGGGCGGAAGCCUGAUGCAGCAACGCCGCGUGCGGGAUGACGGCCUUCGGGUUGUAAACCGCUUUCGCCUGUGACGAAGCGUGAGUGACGGUAAUGGAUAAAGAAGCACCGGCUAACUACGUG
This 468-nucleotide ribosomal RNA is filed under the name uncultured bacterium. RNAcentral's name for it is "partial 16S ribosomal RNA". It matches the Rfam family "Bacterial small subunit ribosomal RNA", at positions 28 to 507 of the family's 1533-position model. The record is from RNAcentral.